UGGCGGACGGGUGAGUAAUGUCUGGGAAACUGCCUGAUGGAGGGGGAUAACUACUGGAAACGGUAGCUAAUACCGCAUAACGUCGCAAGACCAAAGAGGGGGACCUUAGGGCCUCUUGCCAUCGGAUGUGCCCAGAUGGGAUUAGCUAGUAGGUGGGGUAAAGGCUCACCUAGGCGACGAUCCCUAGCUGGUCUGAGAGGAUGACCGGCCACACUGGAACUGAGACACGGUCCAG
Molecule: ribosomal RNA, 235 nt
Filed under: uncultured bacterium
Lineage: Bacteria
Description: partial 16S ribosomal RNA
Rfam family: Bacterial small subunit ribosomal RNA
Source: RNAcentral